This 66-nucleotide transfer RNA is filed under the name Aoria nigripes. Its description in RNAcentral is "tRNA-Glu". Lineage: Eukaryota; Metazoa; Arthropoda; Insecta; Coleoptera; Chrysomelidae. The record is from RNAcentral.
AUUUAUUUAGUUUAACACUAAAACAUUAUAUUUUCAUUAUAAAAAUGAUAAUUUUAUCAAUAAAUA